ACUCCUACGGGAGGCAGCAGUAGGGAAUCUUCCACAAUGGGUGCAAACCUGAUGGAGCAAUGCCGCGUGAGUGAAGAAGGUCUUCGGAUCGUAAAGCUCUGUUGUUAGAGAAGAACACGUGCUAGGUAACUACUAGCGCCUUGACGGUAUCUAACCAGAAAGUCACGGCUAACUACGUGCCAGCAGCCGCGGUAAUACGUAGGUGACAAGCGUUGUCCGGAUUUAUUGGGCGUAAAGGGAGCGCAGGCGGUCUGUUUAGUCUAAUGUGAAAGCCCACGGCUUAACCGUGGAACGGCAUUGGAAACUGACAGACUUGAAUGUAGAAGAGGAAAAUGGAAUUCCAAGUGUAGCGGUGGAAUGCGUAGAUAUUUGGAGGAACACCAGUGGCGAAGGCGAUUUUCUGGUCUAACAUUGACGCUGAGGCUCGAAAGCGUGGGGAGCGAACAGGAUUAGAAACCCCAGUAGUCC
Molecule: ribosomal RNA, 468 nt
Filed under: uncultured organism
Description: partial 16S ribosomal RNA
Rfam family: Bacterial small subunit ribosomal RNA
Source: RNAcentral